AUAAUAAUAAUAAUAAUAAACCAUAUCCAAUGGAAAAGAGAAGGCUAUAAACCAUGAUCUCCCCACCUCUUCUUCCUACAUUAAACCACUCAAAUGCCCUUUUUCCAUUUUUUAGACAACAUUUUACAAAAAACUUCUCUCAUCAAGAUAAAUAAAAAAGAAAAGGCAAAGGAGCUCCAUGGUCUAAACCCAACAAAUGGAAGAAACUAGAUGUACAUGAAUGGAAUUUAAAGGAGUGCUCCUUCUUAUCCACCUAUAAAAUAUAAAAAAAGAAAGCCCUAACAAGCAUGAUCAUAGGCUUUCUCCUUAUCAAGUUCACAAAUCAUUAUUCUCCAAUAUUUGGUACUAGCAUCUAUAAAACUGUUACUGGUCAAUAUAGAAUCCAGAAUUCCUCCCUUCAAACAAAAUUUGUGUUCACAUAUCCCGACAAUUUUAUAGAUAAACUUCGUUAAUUGCAAUGCCAGCCCUUUGGAGCAUACACACUUCGUUAAUUGCAAUGCCAGCCCUUUGGAGCAUACACACUUCGUUAAUUGCAAUGCCAGCCCUCUGUCUUUAAUAACUUCAACCAUAAAAAUCCUCAAUUUCAUAACAACCCAGCAAUAUACUUCAAGUCACUUCUAGCUAUCUCCCAUUUUGCUUCAAAGAACUUCCUCCUCAUUGCGAUCUCUUACAGCUUAAUAAUUUCUACAUUAAUUAUAAACAAAUGGUUUAUCAAGCCAAGGAGUCAUUAAUGUUCCAAUGCCACCAAAAUGUAUGGCUCCCAAUGCCACCAAAAUUUAUGGCUCCCAAUACACCUUUCAACUAGUUGACAAAGGAGUUCUAUAGAAAUUAUAAAUAGCAUCCCCCAUCACAACUCUUCAACCCUUUUUUUAAGCCACUCUGUGAAAAAUUUAUUGUUUCAAUCCCCUUCACUUAACUAAAAUGCCCUAGAUAAAGACUACAAGGAAUUUCCUCCAUACAAUAACAGUGGAGACUUCCUCCUUUAUCAUCACAUUCAUCUGCUUCUCUUCAAAAAAGCAUUAAAUGUCAACAACAUAUAGAGAAGACUUAGUAACCUAAUAUAUUGUUGGCAACAUCACAACUAAACCAAUUUCUAAACAUAACACUAAUCCCAAGGGAUUUUUUUGAAAUAAUUAUGCUUGUAAGAAGAUGUGCACACAUAGGAGGUAGGGUUAGAAGUCCCUAGGCUCUUUAGUCUUAACAGGAGUUCUAGAGGCAACAUAAGAUUUUGUCGCAGCAAGGAAAUUAAGCUUUCAAUGAAUUACAGAAAAAAAAAAUGCAGAGAAAGAUGCAGAAGAGCAAAUGUUGCCACAUCAUUUUCACUUCCCAAAGCACUCAUUAUGAUCAUUCUCAAUAUGAAACUGUGUCAAUUGCAACAUUUACUUGCUCAGUUGAACACUUACUUGGUAUCAAUAAAUAUAAGCCAUAUUAACAAUUGUCUAAAACUAUAAAUAAAUAUGAGAAUAAAACAUGCAAAAUAUAUAUCAUUGUCAUGCAAAAUAUAUAUCAUUGUCUUUCUUUUAAUGGCCAAAUUGCAACAGAAUGAUCUAUUGACUGAUCAAAACUAUAAUUUGCAGAAAGCAGAGUUUAAAUGGAUACCGCAAAUUCUCACAUGGAAAAGUUGUAGAAGCAUUAGCUGGGAGAUCAAUUGUCAAGAGUAAGAAUGAUUCUCUCUAUUAGAUGCUUACAAGAUGGUUAAUAUUUCAAAAAACUGUUCUUUAGGAUUGAAAACAAAAUAUCCAAAAGAUUAC
RNAcentral lists this unclassified non-coding RNA (1751 nucleotides) under Hevea brasiliensis (rubber tree). The record is from RNAcentral. Lineage: Eukaryota; Viridiplantae; Streptophyta; Magnoliopsida; Malpighiales; Euphorbiaceae.